UACGUAGGGGGCGAGCGUUGUCCGGAAUUACUGGGCGUAAAGCGCACGUAGGUGGCUUGCUAAGAUGGGCGUGAAAUCCCCGGGCUUACCUCGGGGGGGUCGUCCGUGACUGGCCGGCUUGGGUGUGGGAGAGGCAGGUGGAAUUCCCGGUGGAGCGGUGAAAUGCGUAGAGAUCGGGAGGAACACCAGUGGCGAAGGCGACCUGCUGGGCCAUUACCGACACUGAGGUGCGAAAGCGUGGGGAGCGAACCGGAUUAGAUACCCGGGUAGUCCACGCCCUAAACGAUGGGUACUAGGCGUGGGGGGUAUCGACCCCCUCCGUGCCGGAGCUAACGCGCGAAGUACCCCGCCUGGGGAGUACGGCCGCAAGGUUGAA
This 376-nucleotide ribosomal RNA is filed under the name uncultured bacterium. Its description in RNAcentral is "bacterial SSU rRNA". It matches the Rfam family "Bacterial small subunit ribosomal RNA", at positions 524 to 898 of the family's 1533-position model. The record is from RNAcentral.